This is a long non-coding RNA of Thamnophis elegans (Western terrestrial garter snake), 266 nucleotides long. RefSeq lists it as uncharacterized. The transcript is spliced from 2 exons. NCBI's taxonomy places the organism in Eukaryota, Metazoa, Chordata, Lepidosauria, Squamata, Natricidae. The record is from RefSeq and is a predicted model, not a curated record.
GUCAUCGGUCAGAGAAAAGUGAAGUCAGCAUUGAUGAAGAAAUAGAUGAUAUUUCUAUGGAAAUAGAAGACUUCAUUACUAGUGAAAAGCUUGAAGACCUCACACAAGACUUCACUGUUUCUCAGUUAAGCGUUGAAGCAGAUUACCUAGAGGAUGUUGCAUGAGUAGAGAGCAGAAAUCUUAAAUGGUGGGACUGUCGACCUUUGUAGACUGUAUUUUAAGACAAUCAAUCUUCUGAAAUACCCCUCACAAAUCGUGCCUUUUAU